RNAcentral lists this ribosomal RNA (645 nucleotides) under uncultured bacterium. RNAcentral describes it as "bacterial SSU rRNA". It matches the Rfam family "Bacterial small subunit ribosomal RNA", at positions 153 to 796 of the family's 1533-position model. The record is from RNAcentral.
GAAAGGCGGGCUAAACCCGCGUACAUGCCACCGGGGCAUCCCGGAGGCAGGAAAGGCUUCGGCCGGACAGGGAUGGGCAUGCGGCGCAUCAGGCAGUAGGCGGGGUAACGGCCCACCUAACCGACGAUGCGUAGGGGUUCUGAGAGGAAGGUCCCCCACACUGGUACUGAGACACGGACCAGACUCCUACGGGAGGCAGCAGUGAGGAAUAUUGGUCAAUGGUCGGGAGACUGAACCAGCCAAGCCGCGUGAGGGAUGAAGGUACAGAGUAUCGUAAACCUCUUUUGUCAGGGAACAAAGGCGGGGACGUGUCCCCGGAUGAGUGUACCUGAAGAAAAAGCAUCGGCUAACUCCGUGCCAGCAGCCGCGGUAAUACGGAGGAUGCGAGCGUUAUCCGGAUUUAUUGGGUUUAAAGGGUGCGCAGGCGGUCUGUUAAGUCGGCGGUCAAAGCCCGGGGCUCAACCCCGGCCCGCCGUUGAAACUGGCAGUCUCGAGUUGGAGAGAAGUAUGCGGAAUGCGCGGUGUAGCGGUGAAAUGCAUAGAUAUCGCGCAGAACUCCGAUUGCGAAGGCAGCAUGCCGGCUCCACACUGACGCUGAGGCACGAAAGCGUGGGUAUCGAACAGGAUUAGAUACCCUGGUAGUCC